GUCCCAUUGGCUCAGUGAGUUAAGGGCAUGGUGCUGGCCACACCAGCAAUGUGGGUUCAAUUCCUGCAUGGACCA
RNAcentral lists this transfer RNA (75 nucleotides) under Salmo salar (Atlantic salmon). It matches the Rfam family "tRNA". Rfam says of the family: Transfer RNA (tRNA) molecules are approximately 80 nucleotides in length. The record is from Rfam by way of RNAcentral. Lineage: Eukaryota; Metazoa; Chordata; Actinopteri; Salmoniformes; Salmonidae.